This 437-nucleotide ribosomal RNA is filed under the name uncultured bacterium. Its description in RNAcentral is "bacterial SSU rRNA". It matches the Rfam family "Bacterial small subunit ribosomal RNA", at positions 954 to 1392 of the family's 1533-position model. The record is from RNAcentral.
GCAAAACGCGAAGAACCUUACCUAGGCUUGACAUGCAUCUCUAAGCGCGUGAAAGCGCGUGACCCUUCGGGGGAUUUGCACAGGUGCUGCAUGGCCGUCGUCAGCUCGUGUCGUGAGAUGUUGGGUUAAGUCCCGCAACGAGCGCAACCCUUGUGAACAGUUGCCAGCACUUAAGGUGGGAACUCUGUUCAGACUGCCCAGAUCAACUGGGAGGAAGGUGGGGACGACGUCAGGUCAGUAUGGCCCUUACGCCUAGGGCUGCACACGUACUACAAUGCCCAGCACAAUGAGAACCGAGACCGCGAGGUGGAGGAAAUCUAAAAAACUGGGCCCAGUUCGGAUUGGAGGUUGCAACUCGCCUCCAUGAAGUUGGAAUCGCUAGUAAUGGCGCAUCAGCUACGGCGCCGUGAAUACGUUCCCGGGUCUUGUACACACCG